Manacus vitellinus (golden-collared manakin) is the source of this 337-nucleotide long non-coding RNA. RefSeq lists it as uncharacterized. Lineage: Eukaryota; Metazoa; Chordata; Aves; Passeriformes; Pipridae. The record is from RefSeq and is a predicted model, not a curated record. The transcript has 3 exons.
GCUCCUACAUCAAAGAAGGAGGACAAAAUCUAUGUAUAAAAGGGUGUCUACAUGCUGGCUGUAGAUGUUACACAACCAAGCAGGGAGCAGAGGCAAGGAAAGAGCUGUGCAAUCUUGACUACGUGGGAACUGGGAGCAGGAGGCUUCCCAAGGUCAUGCUUCAACAUGAGACUUGAAAAUCUUACAUGACAGCAAACAGUGAGACAAUCUGCUACUUCAUGGAUCAUAAAGUAUUAUCUACUGCAGGAAUUGGAAAUUACUUGUUUUAUACCAUUGUUGUGGUUUUAUUUUGCAUCAGUCUCUACAAGUUGUUGCUGCAUAAUUGUUGAGAACCAUU